CUCGGGAGGGGUCCCUCAGCCCAGAUUGUGAGAGGGUGCAGGCCAGGCUGAGGGACCUUACUGGUGCACA
This is a non-coding RNA of Myotis brandtii (Brandt's bat), 70 nucleotides long. Lineage: Eukaryota; Metazoa; Chordata; Mammalia; Chiroptera; Vespertilionidae. The record is from Rfam.